UACCCAUCUGUUUUUCUAUGUCCGAUUAAUACACUGUAUGCACUAGCUGGGUGUGUGAACAUAUACCUGGAUCAGACUCAUUGUUCGUUGCUUACCAGCAAUCAACUGCCAUACCACCGCAUGCAAUUUAGUUCUGCUUUUUCUUUAUGAUUAUACUCUCCUAUCUGGUUGAAACAAUUUCCUUGUGAAUUAUAAUCAGUGAUAGGCCAAUAAAAGACCGUUCGUUGAUUACCACCAACGCGGGAUACCCCUUAAUGAAAUAUCUAUGCUCCUGAGGAAGCG
Rana temporaria (common frog) is the source of this 282-nucleotide long non-coding RNA. RefSeq lists it as uncharacterized. The transcript has 3 exons. Lineage: Eukaryota; Metazoa; Chordata; Amphibia; Anura; Ranidae. The record is from RefSeq and is a predicted model, not a curated record.